UUUACAAUGACUGCCUGCAGAGUCAGGGGUAUAAGAAUGCCAAAAGGACCGUCUGCGUGCUGGAGUGCCACAGAAUCCAGUCAGAGAUUGAAGGCCCGGAACUCACUGCAGAGCCUUGAGCGAGUCUGUCAGGAAGCAGAAGCGUCUGUGUUGGAAGAUUGAAGAGUCAGCGCUAGAAGCCUGGAGAUAGAUGUCCACAGGUGAUGCUGAAGCCUGGAGCUCCUCCAGAGGCACAGAAAACGGGACUUCCUUCUUCUUCCCCUUUGAUUCCAGCUAGACCAUAAGCCUAUUAGUUGGUGCCACCCACAGCUAGGGUGGGUCUUCUGUUUUUAGUAAGUCAGUCAUCCACACACACCAGAACUGUACUACACUAGUGCCCUAGACCUUACUUAUUCAAGUUGACACACAAUGAACUGUCACACCUCUAAGGUUAUUCAGGUGUUACGAGGCAAAUAUUUUCAAGUUUUUGGGUGGAAGCAGGCCUUUGAGAAUUGCCUGUGUACCAAGUACUGUGCCAGGUAUGAGAUAAGGAUGUAAAACCAUGAUAAUACAAUUGCUUUCUCCAAGGGUGUAAGAUGUAACUGAAAAGGAAAAGCACAGCAUAUGCAAAACCAAUUGUGAAAUAAUGAUGUGCAGUAGGAAUUCAGGGAAGAGAGAGCUAAGUGUGCAUGGAGUAAUAGCAGAAGAGGCAGUAUAGGCUGGAUCUUAAUGAAUGCAAAGUAUUGCAGUAAAUAAAGAGUCAUAAAAAGGGCUUGCAGUCAGUUAUAAAGUAAUAUUUCACCAGAAACUAGAGUACACCUAAGAAUAAUCAGUGUUCAUGAUUGCUCUGGAACUUAGCAAAGGCGCGCAUCUGAAAAAUACUGAGGCUUGAGCAGUUGCUAGGCUUUGCAUAAUAGCAGUGGGAAUGAAGCUGGGCGUGGCAAUGCAUUCCUCCGAUCCAGCUACUCUGGAGGCAGAGGCAGGAGGCGAUCAAGUUCCAGGACAACCUAGGAAAGAAUCUGUCUCAAAAUGAAUGAACAAAUAAAUGAAUGAAAUGAAUAGAACAAAUGAAUAAAUAGUAAAACGUAGUAUUUACGGAAGUCAUUAAAAUGACAUUUCUGUUGGUACUGUAGUGUUUGGAUUUUAAGAAUCAGAAGAAUGAAAAAAAAUUUGCUAAGCAAGGACUCAUUAAGAAAACAUAAAGACUGUUAUCACUAUACAUUUACCUUGAGAAAAGCAAACUCACUGUAAUAAUUCAGUAACAAUGAGGACUUAAUUCCAAACUUAAGGACUGUUCAUUAAAUAGAAUACAAUUAAUUCAUCAUGUUAAUAAUUUUUUCAUUCUGUUACAAGUGCCAAAAAUGUCCUCUUGUGUUGGGAAAACUACCUCAGGAUGGAGUGCUUGCCUGACAUUCGUAGGUCCUCGGAUCAAGCCUCAGCAUAAGUAAAUAAAUAUCCGUAAUACGUAUUAGAGUGAGAUACCCUUAGGCAGAGGUGGUGAAACGAUGACAUGCGUGCUCCAGUGGGAAGAUUGUUACCACUGAGCGCUCUGAAGCUUCACUGUCACGGCCCUAAAGCUCCGGUUUGUUACUAGAGCUAUGGUUGGUUAAGUGGUGUCAUGCUUUGGAAGUGGCACUGCAGCACUGUUUGACUUUGUGUAAAGUGGUGGUGAUAUUAUGCAGAAGUAGAAGGAGCUUUUGGGAUAACACCUAAGUGUCUUUUUGUCCUGAAAAGUCCUGGAGCCCUUGUACAUAGUCCCGUCCCUUUCCGCCCCUCCCUUGACCCCCACACUUCCCUUACUCUGCUUUUCUCUCUUUUCCUUUCUUCUCACUUUCCUGCCCUCCCUCCUUCCUUCCCUUUUUUCCUUUCUUUCUCUUCAUUGUUUGGGAUUGAACCCAGGUUUGUGCAUGCUUGUCAAGCACCGUAGCACUGAACUAUACUCCCAGCCCUUUUUAAAAUUUAAUUUUGAGACAGAGUCCUGAAAAGAUGCAGUGCUGGCCUCAAAUUUAGAAUUCUCCUGUGUCAUCCUCUUAAAACAGUUUGGGAUUACAGAUGUGUGCCUUUGCACCUGGCAUUUUCGAUUUUGAUUGAUUUGUAUCCUGUUGUGUUUGUGAGACUCAAGGGAAUCACAGGUAGAUCAGUAUUACUUUACAGGCACCAAAAUAAGGUAAAUGACAUUUUACCAGUUUUUGCUGCUGAUAGACAAGGGCUUUUCCUUUGGUUCAUGGUGCAUGAAAUUCUAGCACCAAGUCUUUUACUUGUCCUUUCCUUUGGUAUUUUUCAGGCAUACUGUGGCAUUCUGGCUUUUGUUCUACCUCUCCGGCAUGGCUUUGUAGCUCUUUUUACUGUUUGAAGGCUUGUACAUCCUUUGUAUAGCAUUUAUGCAUAUAGGUUUUAAUGGAGUCAUAAUGUUAGGGAAUUCAGUAAUGCAGAUGGUUUGUGGGUUGCUUGAUUUAGUACAAAUUGAGCAUCUCUAACUUAAAAGUUUUUGAGCACUGGUAAGUUGUUCAAAAUUUUCAGACUUUGACCUGGGCCUGGUGGUGGAUGCCUGUAGUCCUGGCAUUCUGAGAGGUUGAAACAGGAAAAUUGCAAGUUUGAGCUCACCCUGGAGAACAUAGCAACUUAAGGAGACCCUGUGUGAAAAAACAAAACAAAAGAUUUGGGUGUGUAGCUCAGUGUGAAGACACUGCAUUCAAUUCUGAGUUCUGGGGAAAAAAGAGAAUCAGACUUGUAGAAUUUUCAGUUUCAGGUUUUUGGCUUAGGGAUGGGAUGGGGAUGUUCAUUGUAAAGCCUAUGGAAAUAUUCUAAAAUCUGGAAAAUGCUGAAUCGGAAGCACUUCCAAUAUUAAGCGUUUUGGAGAAGACACAAUCUUUAUUAUCUUAGAACUACCAAUGUAUUAGUGCAUUUUAGGUAUGUUCUCUGUUCUUCUGAUUAUGGAUGUAACUAAAUGAGAUGAUAGUACUGUUAUUUUUUAAUAAUGUUUUCUCAUGUCUUAGGGAUAUUCUUUAUAAAUGUUAAAAUGGUAACACUGCCUUUAAUAAACAAGAAAAAAAGUAUCCAGUGUUUAUCAUGACCCAAGUUCACAUGAUCACUUAAGGCAAAGUUUUAGUUUUUAUGUUGGAGUAAGGCAGGGAGCCAGCACAUUACAUACUUGACUUACACUAAAUACAAUUUAAAAACAUACUCUGGACAAAUCUCAGUAGGAGGCAAGAGUGGUCUAUUACUGUAAACUGAUACAUACACUAUUAUGUAAAAUUGUAACCAUAGGAAAUAUGCCUGUGCAUUUAAUUAUUUAAAAAGUUGGCUUUUUUUUGGAGACACAAUCCCACUAUAUAUGAUUUAGGUCUGGCCUUGAACUUGGUGGUGAUCCUCCUGCCCUAGCCUUUUGAGUGCUGCCCCACUGCCAUAUCUGGCUCUAAAAAAGACAGUUUUUGAAUUGCACACGCCUAAGUGCUAGGCUCAAAAGGCCUAUCUAUGUUGCUUUAAUUUUUUAAAGAAAAUUCCCUACUGUUUUGUGAUAUGUGUAUCCCUAAAACUCUGGGCAGCCAUCAUCAUGACUAGAAUCAGAUAAUGCACUCAAUUUUGGUAAUGUGAGGAGAGUUUAAAUAAAAUGAAAUGUGUGGGAGUUGAAAUUCUAAGUAAGAGAGAGCAUUAGUUGAACUGUGGAGAAGCCUUAUUAAGGUUAAGACAGCGACUCCUCCCUCUGAUAGAGAGAUUCACCUCAGGCUUCAUUAUCCAGUGUUGUUCCAGCAUAUUUUCCUGUCUCCACAUCUUCCAUGAGGCAAACACAGCCAGAAGCCAGGACUGGAUUUUAAAGGUUCAGAGAGACAGUGGACACAGGCUAUAUGAUAUGAGUGAUUCUUUCAAGCAGGGGUAGGAUGUAGAGAAUGCAGCAUAUAUUUGGAAUGGGAGCGUAAUUUUAUUUUGCUAAAUUGUAUGACAAAACUGAGACAUAGGCUUGGUGAAUUAUUUUUGUAAUCUUGUAAUCAGAACAAUAACAAUCUAAAAUUAAAGCUUGAUUGAUUGAUUGAUUGAGAUGGGGUUUGCUCUGUCAUUCAGGCAGACCUUGAACUCACUGUGUAGUCCAGGGUGGCCUCAGGCUGGCAGCAAUCCUGCAGCCUCAGCCUCUCAAGUACUGAGAUGGUAGGUUUGUGCCACCAUGCCUGGCUGAAAUGAAAGCAUUUAAGAAGAAAUAUUAGUGCUAGUAAAAAUACUAAUAAAUAAAGUGUUAAACAGAAGUACUGCAUUUGUCAGCUUUUCUGUUGCUGGGACAAAAUAUUGAAUGGCAGCAAUUUUAAGUUUAUUUUGGACCCUGGUCUGAGGUUCAGUCCAUAGUUGUCUUGUUCUAAGGCAGAAACAUCGUGGCAGAGGGGCCUGCUGGAGAAAAGCUGUCAUGUCAUAGCAGCCAGAGAAGAGGGAUCGAGAGGUGUGUGUGGGGAAGGGUUGGGGAGGUGAAAGGAGAGAGAGAGAGAGAGAGAGAGCGAGAGAGAGAGAGAGAGAGAGAGAGAGAGAGAGAGAGAGAGAGAGAGAGAGAGAGAGAGAGAGCGAGAGAGAGCGCGAGCGCAGUAGGCAGGGAGGUGGGCAGGCAGAGACAGACGACGUGGCAGGAACACCUUUCCGGGUCACACAUGAAAUGACCUGACCCUUUUUGAGUACAUCUCAGGUACUUUGAUGGAAUGGGGAUGAAAGAAAAGGCGAGCAGUGUAGAGAAAGGUGCAAAAUGGACAAAGACCAGGGCGACACACACUUAGGCCUGAAAAUGUCAAACUGAGCCACAGAGAGCGUGGUUCCUUUUGGCUUCUCCACGUUAUGGAACGAGUGGACUUGGUAUUUAGUUGCUGCAAGUUGUAGCACCAAAGACUAAACUCUGUGAAUUUUACCUACGAAUGCAACUUUCUUCAUGUACUGAAAUCAUUCCCAAUUCAGAAUCCUUGUAACAACAAAGACUGUGAAGUAUCGUGUACACACUUUUAACUGCUUUGAUACAUAAUUGACAUAUAGUGAUCGUAAAUAUUUAAAUAUGUGAUUAAUAUGUUUGACAUGUACGAAUAAAACCCUCACCCAAACAAGGUAGUUAUAUAUUCCUGUCCCCCGAACGUUUCCUCAUGUCCCUUUUUGUUUUUUUUUCCCCGCUCUGGCCUCUCUCAGCUCUUUCCCCUCAGAUAACCAGUGAUAUUUUCUGUGACUGUUGAUUUUGUACAUUUCUGACCCCUAGUAUGUGCAAUUUCCAUUUCCCCUACUUUCUCAGAGGCACUUUUAUUGCUGCUGUAAUAAAUGUGUAGCGGUGUUUUGUUAAGGGCUUUUGUUGUUGUUGCAUUGCUUGGGAUCAAAUCCAGGGACUCAUGCACGCUAGACAAGAACUUUACAACUGAACUACACCCCAGGCCUCAUUAUAGUUUUAAUUUGCACUUUUUACAUUUUUAAAAUCUUUAUUUUAGUUAACUCUUCAUAUAUUCCUAUUAUUAGGCCAUUCUGAGUGUGAAAUUCUGAUUCAUAAUAGUGUUCCUGCAAUAGUAGACUAUCUAUAAUUACGUAUUUAGUAACCUUAGGUGUUAGCUUGUGAAAAGCUUUACUACUUCUUAUACCCCUUUUUGGCAUAAUAUUUUUUUGCAUAAAAUACAAUUAAAUAUAUAAAUUAAGAAUUGCUGUUUCUGUGGGUUGUUUCAAGCAAAAAUACUGUAGCCAAUUAUGGUGGAUUAACUAAGAGUCCACUUGUAACCCCAGCUGAAUUGAGUCAUCGUGGAGCUGGGUGUGGGAGGCCCACCUGAGGAUUGUUGCCAGCAGCAUAAAAGGAGAAUCGGAGGGGAAGAUGGUGCUGUAGAUUCUCCUGGAAAAGCUUGCCACGGCUCAUGUCUGUGAUGUGAACUCUGUUCUGGGUCCAGGAAGAUGAAACUGUCUCCGGCAUGCUGAUUCUGAUUUUGAGUGUCUACGUGAAAGUAGGUCACCUGACUUAGCACCUCCCAGCAGUGACAGCGACACCCUUGCACUCUUCUGUCACCUACCAACAAUCAGAAGCUUUCCUACUUUGACUAGAAAUUAAGUGUACGUUUAUGAUGGCCGGAGAGCAGGAUGAAACAGCUGCGCCCAUGCAUCUCCGUCACUUCUCAGCCGAAGCAGCGCUUGGGAAGAAUGCUAAUCCACCCCUUCUCUAUUAAAGAUAAAACUGCGGCGAUUCGGACGAUUUUAAAUUAUUAAAUGCUGUAAAUGCCAUAAAGUUAAUUAGAAGAGGAACAAACUCUACAAAGAUAAAUGUGUUUUCAAUACGACUCGUGGAGAGGGUACAGUAGAAACCAGUGAACAGAGAGGAAAUUUAUUUCUGGCAGGACUCUAGACAUGGAACCGUGGCUGAACUUUUUACCCUAAUUACCUCCUGCUAAUGCCUGCAGCGGUCUGGAAUCAAAGUGCUGCUUCAGGCCCUGGAAAUUCUCUGAUGUGGCAAACGUUUGUUGUGUGAGGAGGGUUUCUUAAGAAAAAGCAGAAUAUUGUGACAGGAUUUUAAAAAAAUUUCUCAGUUACCACCCACCUCACUUGUUGCCUACAAAAAUAGAGUAAUUGUUUGCAUCUGUGUGUUCUUUUUUCCUCCUAAGAAAUAACUGUUAUAAAUCAAUGUGACAUAGAUCCAGUGAACUGAGGCCUGCCUGAAGUAGGGUUUUUUUUUUUUAAGUUUCUCCUCUGAUUUAAAAUUUAGGUUCAAAAUGUGAACAACUUAUUCUUUAUAAUUAAGAAUAACCAUUCUACUCAUUUUUAAAGGCAAAUUCAGAUCUUAAAGCGGAGAAAUUUUAAAAUGAAUUUAAUGACUUGUAUAGUAUCUGUAUUAAUAACUGUUAAAUUGCUUAUCCUGGAAGUAGAAAUGCAGAUUUCCAGUUUUACCGUUAGCUCUUGGACUGGGGCUACAGUCUAAGAUACCUGCUUUUAAUUCCUCUGAGACUGUACAUCAUGCUAUUUAUCUGUCAUAAAAUUUCUGGCCUCUUGUACACAUUUUUGAAAUAAAAAGUCAUUCUGUGUAACCCACCUGUUUUUCAUCCUGUUGUUAAAAGCAGUGAUUCUGUACUCAUUCAGGCUGCGUGCAUUAGUCAUUCAGGCUGUGUUCUAAGAGAACUCAGCUUUCAGUCGUCUGCCCUUGCACUGCUUGUGCCCAUGCUAAAUCGCAUCUCCAGUUCUAGUCCUUUACUGCUCUGCUUGGAGUACUUUUUAGAUAAUUCUUGAAAAAUACUAAUAGCAUUGUUGUGUUGUAAUGCAAGUAAGAUCAUGAUUUCUUGUGGGUAGAUAUUUAUUUUGGCAAUCAUUCAUUAUUAAAGGUAGGACUGAGUCUUUUUUAUCUUAGACCAUAAAGAGAAUUUUUAUUCUUCAUAAUGAAGUACAAAAUUUCUUUCAAGGUUGUUUGAGAAAUUCACAUCUUGCUGUGAUUACGUUGUGGUCAUUAAUUGCUGCAAUAUAACCUUUGUAUUUUGUGUACUUACACGUUUGUAUUGCAUCAGUAUACACUGUGAGUAAUAUAAUUUUGUGAGUAGGUUUGUUUCCUUCAAUUACCAAGUUUCAAACUUAUGUUACAAAUAAAUUUUUCAUGUUUUAUUCAGUGGUAAGGCACUGAUAUAUUUUCACAUUUAAUGUACUGUUCCAAAAUUGUGAUCCUUUGGUCUACAAGUAACAUGUAUUUGACAUCAUUUUGCUGUGUCAUUUGAAUGAUUUUUGCCUCAAUUCUGCCUCCUGCCUCAAGUACUCUUCAGGAGGAUAGAUAUUAGCUAUGAAAAGUAACCCUUUAUUGUAAUAAUACUGUUAAAACUUAAAACUACUAAUUUUUAUAUCUUAUUUAUAUCUUCAAGCAUUUUGAUAGUUUAAUUUAUAUUUCACUAUAAGAUAUGUAUUCUGAGAAAUAUUUAAAAUCUAUUCCACUUUUUGUCCUUAUAAUGACAUUAUACCAAAGGAGAAUUACAUUGAUAUAGCUGUGUCCUAAAUUAUACAAUGUAAAAUUACGUAGGUAUACUGCUUGUAAAUGGUCCCUGUAAUUUUUAAGUAAAUGUUCUUCAUGGUAUAAGAAUAAUGAUUUUUUUUUAAAAGAAAUAACAAAAUAAAAAAAUAAUGAUUUUUUUAAAAAAAGUAAAAUUAGAAGUAUUAAUUUAUAAUGGAGUUUUCCUUGUUCACUAAAAUAAGAAAUAUCUUUGUUAUUUAUGGGGUGUUUCCUUGUUCACUAAAAUAAUAAAUACCUAUUAUUUAUAAAUAAUAAAUAUCUUUUUGAUUAUUAUAUAAAGUAUUUUUGUUUUAUUUCAUUUUUAAUUGACAAAUAAUAAUACAUGUUUUUGAAGAUACAAAGUGAUACAUGGUAGAAUUAUCUACUUAGGCUAACUAAGAUGUCCCUCAUCUAAAAUAUUUACCAUUUAUUAUGUUGGAAGAACAACAAAUAUAUUUAAAACUUCUCUUAGCCAUUUUGAAAUAUACAUCUUUAAUAAUUAUAAUCACCAUGUAGGAGAUAACCAGAAUUUAGGUUUUAAGCAUUUAACGGAGAAAUUAAUAGAUAAGUAAACUAUUUUUGUAUGUAUUCUUUUCUAAAAAUUAUUUUGGUGUUAUAGCUAGUUAUUUAUUGACUUUGAAAAGUAGAUUUAAAGAAUGAUUUAUUAAUUUCAGCUUCAUUUAAUUAAUUUUAGCUUCAUUUCAUUUCAUGUCUCAUGUUUGAUUCUUUUUUACAUCUACUCAAACAUCAAGCAUGUUGAUAAAUUCUGAAUUUUAAGAGACAGUAGGGUUAUUUAAGCAGGCAUGCUGUAGAUUAUAAAUUUUAAGAUGACACUAGAAUAAUAAAAGCAGCCAUGGCAUUCCACAGUGGAAUAUAUUUGGCUUCUUUGUCCUUGCUUGGCAGAAGUUGGUGUAAUUAAUGUCUUUUGUAAAUUGAGCAAGAUUUCAGUAUUCUCAUUUCAACUCUGGUGUUUUCUAAUUAACUAUGGUUAUAUAUACAAUUCUGUUUUAUCAUCAUAAGUGAUAAACUAUUAGGGAAAUAAAUCUAAUCAAGAUUUUA
Long non-coding RNA from Cavia porcellus (domestic guinea pig), 8986 nucleotides. RefSeq lists it as uncharacterized. Lineage: Eukaryota; Metazoa; Chordata; Mammalia; Rodentia; Caviidae. The transcript is spliced from 3 exons. The record is from RefSeq and is a predicted model, not a curated record.